AGAUCUUAGGUGCCACAGUCGGAGGAGAUGCAGUAUUUUAACACUCAGUAGCCCAACGGUCACUUGCUAGGGAAACUGAGACCCAGAAGAGAUAGAUGCCACAUGUUCGAACACUCACAAGGAAACACAGAGAGCCAGAAGACAGUGAAAGGAACAGCUUGUCAUGUCCCCCAGCUACCACGGAUUGGCUCAGUGAAGAGAGGCUGUGGUCACCUCUGCAUGGUUUCCUGGUACAAACACAAAUUUCCUUUCCUCUGGCUGCAUUCCUAAAAUUAAUUAAAUCUUGGCUCAAGAAGGCUUCUUCAUGCCAGCAAGAUGAGAAGACUGAAUGCAGAGAAGCUCAAGGUCAAAACAAGGACGUCAGCUCCAUGAGGUCGGGGACCUUGCCUGUUGUAUUCACUUCUAUCUCCUAGAACAGCGGCUGGCACAGAGUCUUUCCAACUCAAAUGGUUGUAAGGAGGAAAAAGAGGAGGUGGAGAAGAGGAACACUGUUCCUAGUGCUUAAUGUGUCCCAGACCCUAUUGUAGAGGCUUCAGACAUCUAUAAUGGCAUCUUCAGGAGACCUGUGUGCACCCUGUCUGAGUUGAAGUACACACCCUGAAGAGGAGCCAGUUAUGAAGGACCAAAUGCACAUAUUAAAAUUAAACAUCACAUGAUUCUCAAA
RNAcentral lists this long non-coding RNA (664 nucleotides) under Pongo abelii (Sumatran orangutan). RNAcentral describes it as "lincRNA". Lineage: Eukaryota; Metazoa; Chordata; Mammalia; Primates; Hominidae. The record is from RNAcentral.